GUAGAGACAGGUAGAGAGAGAGGGAUAGAUGGAGGGAGAGGUAGAGACAGGUAGAGAGAGAGGGAUAGAUGGAGGGAGAGGUAGAGACAGGUAGAGACAGGUAGAGAGAGAGGGAUAGAUGGAGGGAGAGGUAGAGACAGGUAGAGAGAGAGGGAUAGAUGGAGGGAGGGAGAGGUAGAGACAGGUAGAGAGAGAGGGAUAGAUGGAGGGAGGGAGAGGUAGAGACAGGUAGAGAGAGAGGGAUAGAUGGAGGGAGAGGUAGAGACAGGUAGAGACAGGUAGAGAGAGAGGGAUAGAUGGAGGGAGGGGUAGAGAGAGAGGGAUAGAUGGAGGGUGAGGUAGAGACAGGUAGAGACAGGUAGAGAGAGAGGGAUAGAUGGAGGGAGGGGUAGAGACAGGUAGAGAGAAAGGGAUAGAUGGAGGCAGAGGUAGAGACAGGUAGAGAGAGAGGGAUAGAUGGAGGGAGAGGUAGAGACAGGUAGAGAGAGAGGGAUAGAUGGAGGCAGAGGUAGAGACAGGUAGAGAGAGAGGGAGUGGUAAAGAGAGAGUGAGGAGAGAGUAUAUCCAGUAUAUUGUAUAGGUGACUGUCUAG
Molecule: long non-coding RNA, 592 nt
Organism: Oncorhynchus tshawytscha (Chinook salmon)
Lineage: Eukaryota; Metazoa; Chordata; Actinopteri; Salmoniformes; Salmonidae
Source: Ensembl